RNAcentral lists this ribosomal RNA (500 nucleotides) under uncultured bacterium. RNAcentral describes it as "partial 16S ribosomal RNA". It matches the Rfam family "Bacterial small subunit ribosomal RNA", at positions 30 to 523 of the family's 1533-position model. The record is from RNAcentral.
AUUGAACGCUGGCGGAAUGCUUUACACAUGCAAGUCGAACGGCAGCACGGACUUCGGUCUGGUGGCGAGUGGCGAACGGGUGAGUAAUACAUCGGAACGUGCCCAGUCGUGGGGGAAAACGUAGCGAAAGCUACGCUAAUACCGCAUACGAUCUAAGGAUGAAAGCGGGGGAUCGCAAGACCUCGCGCGAUUGGAGCGGCCGAUGGCAGAUUAGGUAGUUGGUAGGGUAAAGGCCUACCAAGCCGACGAUCUGUAGCUGGUCUGAGAGGAUGAUCAGCCACAGUGGGACUGAGACACGGCCAAGACUCCUACGGGAGGCAGCAGUGGGGAAUUUUGGACAAUGGGCGCAAGCCUGAUCCAGCCAUUCCGCGUGCAGGAUGAAGGGCUUCGGGUUGUAAACUGCUUUUGUACAGAACGAAAAGGCUCUGGUUAAUACCCGGGGCUCAUGACGGUACUGUAAGAAUAAGCACCGGCUAACUACGUGCCAGCCGCCGCAGUAA